GAAUAUUGGGCAAUGGACGGAAGUCUGACCCAGCCAUGCCGCGUGCAGGAGGAAGGCCCUCUGGGUUGUAAACUGCUUUUGUACGGGAAGAAACCUCUUGAUGCGUUGAGAGUUGACGGUACCGUAAGAAUAAGGAUCGGCUAACUACGUGCCAGCAGCCGCGGUAAUACGUAGGAUCCAAGCGUUGUCCGGAUUUAUUGGGUUUAAAGGGUGCGUAGGCGGACUAAUAAGUCAGUGGUGAAAGCCGGCCGCUUAACGGUCGAAUUGCCAUUGAUACUGUUAGUCUUGAGUACAGUUGAGGUUGGCGGAAUGUGUCAUGUAGCGGUGAAAUGCAUAGAGAUGACACAGAACACCGAUUGCGUAGGCAGCUAACUAAGCUGUUACUGACGCUGAGGCACGAAAGCGUGGGGAUCAAACAGGAUUAGAUACCCCAGUAGUC
RNAcentral lists this ribosomal RNA (439 nucleotides) under uncultured bacterium. RNAcentral's name for it is "bacterial SSU rRNA". It matches the Rfam family "Bacterial small subunit ribosomal RNA", at positions 359 to 795 of the family's 1533-position model. The record is from RNAcentral.